UGAAGAGUGUUGGUGCGAGGACUGAA
This 26-nucleotide non-coding RNA is filed under the name Bombyx mori (domestic silkworm). The record is from RNAcentral. Lineage: Eukaryota; Metazoa; Arthropoda; Insecta; Lepidoptera; Bombycidae.